RNAcentral lists this ribosomal RNA (465 nucleotides) under Vreelandella stevensii. Its description in RNAcentral is "partial 16S ribosomal RNA". It matches the Rfam family "Bacterial small subunit ribosomal RNA", at positions 338 to 795 of the family's 1533-position model. Lineage: Bacteria; Pseudomonadati; Pseudomonadota; Gammaproteobacteria; Oceanospirillales; Halomonadaceae. The record is from RNAcentral.
CCUACGGGGGGCAGCAGUGGGGAAUAUUGGACAAUGGGGGCAACCCUGAUCCAGCCAUGCCGCGUGUGUGAAGAAGGCCCUCGGGUUGUAAAGCACUUUCAGUGAGGAAGAACGCCUGGUGGUUAAUACCCAUCAGGAAAGACAUCACUCACAGAAGAAGCACCGGCUAACUCCGUGCCAGCAGCCGCGGUAAUACGGAGGGUGCGAGCGUUAAUCGGAAUUACUGGGCGUAAAGCGCGCGUAGGUGGCUUGAUAAGCCGGUUGUGAAAGCCCCGGGCUCAACCUGGGAACGGCAUCCGGAACUGUCAAGCUAGAGUGCAGGAGAGGAAGGUAGAAUUCCCGGGGUAGCGGUGAAAUGCGUAGAGAUCGGGAGGAAUACCAGUGGCGAAGGCGGCCUUCUGGACUGACCCUGACACUGAGGUGCGAAAGCGUGGGUAGCAAACAGGAUUAGAUACCCCUGUAGUC